AUAAGCUUUUUUUUUUUUUUAACAGUACCCAUGAUAAGCAUUUGAACUCCAAUGAUGUGCCCAAAUAUCAUGCCACAGUCUAAUUAUACCAAGUGCAGGCAAACAUAUUAAAGAUCAGAAAGUUGUGCGCACAAAGUGAGAUUACAAACUAUAGAGAUGGUAUUUAGCUAAACUGAGACGGCUCAUGUUUAGUGUCCAGUAACUGACAAGGCACUAAUUUUCCUGCUUUGGACCUUUGGUUAGGAAAAAAAAAAAAGGAAAAGAAAAGAGAGAGCGACAAACAAUUAGUUGAUUCUGAAAAAUUAUUUAGCUUCAAUGGUGUAUUACGAGAUCUUUUGCGAAGAAAUGCAAAUAAUUUUUAAUGGUUGUGCAAUUAUUAUUUUCUAGAGUUGGAAGUAUUGCUAAAGAGCAGUGGAGAUGUCUCAAGAAGUCCCGGCUAUGGUUGUGAGUUCUCAAGACUCUAUGGUUGUGAUCAUAAGCUCUCGAGUGAGUCUAGAUUUAAAUGAACCGAGAAAAGAGUUAAAAUUGAUUUGGCAAAAAUGGCUAAAGUAUAGUUUUGGGGAGAAAAUCAUAUAGAA
RNAcentral lists this unclassified non-coding RNA (578 nucleotides) under Hevea brasiliensis (rubber tree). The record is from RNAcentral. Lineage: Eukaryota; Viridiplantae; Streptophyta; Magnoliopsida; Malpighiales; Euphorbiaceae.